This 440-nucleotide ribosomal RNA is filed under the name uncultured bacterium. Its description in RNAcentral is "partial 16S ribosomal RNA". It matches the Rfam family "Bacterial small subunit ribosomal RNA", at positions 338 to 795 of the family's 1533-position model. The record is from RNAcentral.
CCUACGGGAGGCAGCAGUGGGGAAUAUUGCACAAUGGGGGAAACCCUGAUGCAGCGACGCCGCGUGAGUGAAGAAGUAUUUCGGUAUGUAAAGCUCUAUCAGCAGGGAAGAAAAUGACGGUACCUGAUUAAGAAGCCCCGGCUAACUACGUGACAGCAGCCGCGGUCAUACGGAGGGGGCAAGCGUUAUCCGGAUGUACUGGGUGUAAAGGGAGCGUAGACGGCAGCACAAGUCAGGAGUGAAAUGCCGGGGCUUAACCCCGGAACUGCUUUUGAGACUGGGCAGCUAGAGUGCAGGAGAGGUAAGUAGAAUUCCUAGUGGAGCGGUGAAAUGCGUAGAUAUUAGGAGGAACACCAGAGGCGAAGGCGGCUUACUGGACUGUAACUGACGUUGAGGCUCGAAAGCGUGGGGAGCAAACAGGAUUAGAUACCCCUGUAGUC